CCUCUGAAGAAAAUCAUGGAAGCAUGUGCAGGUGGUUUUUCCUCCAGUGUUGGUUACCCAGGACAGCAAUACUACUUUAAUAGUUCAGGCAGCUCUGGAUAUCAGGAUUAUUAUCCGCAUGGCAGGCCGGAUCACUAUGAAGAAGCACCCAGGAACUAUGACACGUACACAGCAGGACUGAGUGAAGAAGAACAGCUCGAGAGAGCAUUACAAGCCAGCCUCUGGGACCGAGGUAGGAGUCUUGCGCCCUUCAGUUAUUUUAAAGCAUACCUCAUGUGGUAAGGUAGCCUGAAAAAGGGCUAUUUGUAGUAAAUUAAAUUUUAAAUAGUUCAGAAAAAAGGAUAUGUAGAUGAAAAAUGUGUGCAGAUUGUGAUUACAAAGAAUGGGGUAUGAUGCCAUAUUCCCAGCAACCUAAGCUAAUAAGGUGCCAGGCUGUGUAUGUAUUGUUAAAGUGGUUCUUUUUAUAGGCCUGCUGUACUUGAUGCUUUGGCAUUAAAGUCAAGAAACUUAAAAUUCUUA
Molecule: small RNA, 519 nt
Filed under: Pongo abelii (Sumatran orangutan)
Lineage: Eukaryota; Metazoa; Chordata; Mammalia; Primates; Hominidae
Description: retained intron
Source: RNAcentral